This 305-nucleotide ribosomal RNA is filed under the name uncultured bacterium. RNAcentral describes it as "bacterial SSU rRNA". It matches the Rfam family "Bacterial small subunit ribosomal RNA", at positions 337 to 659 of the family's 1533-position model. The record is from RNAcentral.
UCCUACGGGGGGCAGCAGUGGGGGAUAUUGGUCAAUGGGGGAAACCCUGAACCAGCAACGCCGCGUGAGGGAAGACGGUUUUCGGAUUGUAAACCUCUGUCCUCUGUGAAGAUGAUGACGGUAGCAGAGGAGGAAGCUCCGGCUAACUACGUGCCAGCAGCCGCGGUAAUACGUAGGGGGCAAGCGUUAUCCGGAAUUACUGGGUGUAAAGGGAGCGUAGACGGUUAAGUAAGUCUGGAGUGAAAGGCCGGGGCCCAACCCCGGGACUGCUCUGGAAACUAUUGAACUUGAGUGCAGGAGAGGUA